This 576-nucleotide ribosomal RNA is filed under the name Triticum aestivum (bread wheat). RNAcentral's name for it is "partial small subunit ribosomal RNA". Lineage: Eukaryota; Viridiplantae; Streptophyta; Magnoliopsida; Poales; Poaceae. The record is from RNAcentral.
AUGGAAAAGAAAAAAAACACGCUUACCUCCCCCGUCUCCACCUCCAGCGCGCCGCCGGCCCCCGCCAAGCGCCGUCGCAGUCUGCCCUCACCCUUCCGCCGCGCGCCGCCGCCGCCCCUCCGCCGUGCGCCGCCCCCACCCCUGCGGCUUUCCACCACCGGCGACACUCGACGCCGGCGCCGCACCUUCCCCCAACUCCUCUCUCUCCUCCUCCUUCGCCGUCACCGCUCUUCAUCAGCCGGCAGACUCUGUCCAAAUGGGCAGGCGGCGCUGGAGUUCAUCGGAACGGGUAGGCGGCCGGCGGGCGGCGCGAGGAAGAUGGCGGAUCUGGGCGCGGCAUCGAGGGUUCAGGAUGAAUCAGAAACUGAAGAUGAUGAUCCCAUGGAUACAGAAGAAGCUUCCUCUGUCCCAUCGCUGCACUGCAGUCUUUCAGCCAAGCUCUGUAAUUUAGCAGUUGAGAUCAAGAUGCUACUCCAAUCUAUAUAUGAAACCAAAUCAGGUGGGCUUGAUGACAAAGAGGUAAUAAGAGAUGAACUCUUCCAGUAUAAAAAGUUGAUGGUCCUAAUUAGUUUAUAG